CCUACGGGGGGCAGCAGUGAGGAAUAUUGGUCAAUGGACGCGAGCCUGAACCAGCCAAGUAGCGUGAAGGAUGACUGCCCUAUAGGUUGUAAACUUCUUUUAUAAGGGAAUAAAAUGUUCCACGUGUGGGUUUUUGUAUGUACCAUAUGAAUAAGGAUCGGCUAACUCCGUGCCAGCAGCCGCGGUAAUACGGAGGAUCCGAGCGUUAUCCGGAUUUAUUGGGUUUAAAGGGAGCGUAGGUGGGUUGUUAAGUCAGUUGUGAAAGUUUGCGGCUCAACCGUAAAAUUGCAGUUGAAACUGGCAGUCUUGAGUACAGUAGAGGUGGGCGGAAUUCGUGGUGUAGCGGUGAAAUGCUUAGAUAUCACGAAGAACUCCGAUUGCGAAGGCAGCUCACUGAACUGCAACUGACACUGAGGCUCGAAAGUGUGGGUAUCAAACAGGAUUAGAUACCCUAGUAGUC
RNAcentral lists this ribosomal RNA (460 nucleotides) under uncultured bacterium. RNAcentral describes it as "partial 16S ribosomal RNA". It matches the Rfam family "Bacterial small subunit ribosomal RNA", at positions 338 to 795 of the family's 1533-position model. The record is from RNAcentral.